ACACAGGUGCUGCAUGGCUGUCGUCAGCUCGUGUCGUGAGAUGUUGGGUUAAGUCCGUAACGAGCGCAACCCUUGUCCUUAGUUACCAGCACGUUAUGGUGGGCACUCUAAGGAGACUGCCGGUGACAAACCGGAGGAAGGUGGGGAUGACGUCAAGUCAUCACGGCCCUUACGGCCUGGGCUACACACGUGCUACAAUGGUCGGUACAAAGGGUUGCCAAGCCGCGAGGUGGAGCUAAUCCCAUAAAACCGAUCGUAGUCCGGAUCGCAGUCUGCAACUCGACUGCGUGAAGUCGGAAUCGCUAGUAAUCGUGAAUCAGAAUGUCACGGUGAAUACGUUCCCGGGCCUU
This 350-nucleotide ribosomal RNA is filed under the name uncultured Pseudomonas sp. RNAcentral describes it as "bacterial SSU rRNA". It matches the Rfam family "Bacterial small subunit ribosomal RNA", at positions 1032 to 1382 of the family's 1533-position model. The record is from RNAcentral. Lineage: Bacteria; Pseudomonadati; Pseudomonadota; Gammaproteobacteria; Pseudomonadales; Pseudomonadaceae.